This is a long non-coding RNA of Carcharodon carcharias (great white shark), 1835 nucleotides long. RefSeq lists it as uncharacterized. The transcript has 6 exons. Lineage: Eukaryota; Metazoa; Chordata; Chondrichthyes; Lamniformes; Lamnidae. The record is from RefSeq and is a predicted model, not a curated record.
UCGCCCUCAGCUGGGCUGAUAUGACAUUCAGUUUCCAGGUUAGUUUCGCGGUUUCAGUAGCUUCCUUGUUCAGAUCGGUCACUCGUCCCGUUGGGUGCGAAUUCUUUUCUGCUGCAGCAAUGGUUCUCCAAAUUCAAGUUUCUUACUGAGGCUCCUGAGGGUACCGCAGUAGGUUUAACCACCUGAAGGAUGACCUCGAAGAGGAGUUUCCUGAUGAACUGGAAAUAACUGGAAAUGCUGUCAAAGGAACGACAGGCUGUUUUGAGGUUCAGAUAAAGGGCUCAGAAACGCUUCUGCAUUCUAAACUGCAUGGAGAUGGCUUUGUUGAUUCUGCAGAUAAGCUUUUGAAGAUUGUUAAUGGAAUCAAAGCAGCCCUUAAACAGUAACACGAUGUAGGGCUGUAAUUAGAUCAGUUAAACGUCCGUUUGCUUUGUCCCCCUCGGCUGCACACUUUAUGAUGGUGAUGGUUGAAACGUCUGCAAAAGGCGUGGCUGUUUCCUGAUGUCUACGUGGGAUGUUGCAGUGGCCAAAGUUAUCUGGGGUUUAACUUGUGAAUUUUCAGUCUUACAAGUGUUUUUUUUUUUGCUUUUCCCACCACCAGUUUAAGCACAGUGGUGCAUUAUUUUCCUUCCUGCAGUGCAAGAUAUAACACGAUCAAAAAUGUUUACUUUUGGAAUUAAAGGGCAUAGUUAUCCUUUUUUUUUGCAGCCUGAAGUACUUUUUUUUAUAAUGCUUGGCUAUGAUCAGGAAGUCCGAUCAGUGUGCUUGAUACAACCACUAGAACCCUGCAAACGUUUGUAAUCUAGCCCACCCAUAUGCUGCAGUUCUGAGUAAGUUUUAUCAACAGCCCACUUUGUAAACCUAGUUUGACAUUGCACUGUCAGCUCCUCACUGUAUGAUGUUACUGUCUCCAAAGGCAUCUCGUGCUUGUCUCUGGAGUCACUUAUGGGACUAAAAGGCGGAUUUGUAUUGCAACUGCUGAAUUGCUGUCUAAGUGGAAAAUACUUCACAACAAUGAAGUUGCAGUGCAAACACACCCAUCAAGUCCUGUUUACUGGCUCUGCAGUGAGAUGGCAUACGCAGAUACAAAACAAAGAGAAAGGUAAACCAACAAUAAAAAUACACUAUUUGGCUAAACAUCAGCGCCAUUGGGUUGGAAAUGAAUAUAUCCAAUACAUUACAGAACAAAUUUAGUGCAUGUUUUCACUUUGACCAUAGCUGAUGUUUCAUCUCAUUGACUGUCUGUGGGUGAAUUCUUUUCUGUCAUAGCCACUAGAUUAUAUUUCGGUUUACAAGUGAAACAGUUGCUCGGAGACCUGUACAGGAGCAACUGCCCAGUAUAUUGAGAUAAAAACAAAAAACUGCGGAUGCUGGAAAUCCAAAACAAAAACAGAAUUACCUGGAAAAACUCAGCAGGUCUGGCAGCAUCUUCUCCGCUGAUGCUGCCAGACCCGCUGAGUUUUUCCAGGUAAUUCUGUUUUUGCCCAGUAUAUUGUGUGGGCCAGAUUUGCAGGUUAUAAUUGAAGCAGGACAUUUCUGCCCCUUUUAAUGAAGACAGUAAAUGUAAUUUUAAUGAUUGACAGCGAGGCAUAACCUCCAUUGGCUGGUGGUUAGGCUUGUGAGAUCUUGCAGGGUUGAAGUUGCUUUUUAAUGUUGCUUGUGAUGUUUUUUGAAGAACUCUUCCAAAUUCUCUUCUUUUCUGGGUGGUUAAAGGAAUUGUAUUAUGCUGCUGAUCUGCAUAAUUAAAAAAAACAAUGUUUACAGAACAACUAGAGGGUACAUUUUUAUCAACUUCAAUUUUGAAUUGGAUCACAAUAAAAGCGUUGUUCACUUUG